This is a non-coding RNA of Pteropus alecto (black flying fox), 35 nucleotides long. NCBI's taxonomy places the organism in Eukaryota, Metazoa, Chordata, Mammalia, Chiroptera, Pteropodidae. The record is from Rfam.
CUGUCUCUUGCUUCAACAGUGUAUGGACAGAACAG